This 90-nucleotide transfer RNA is filed under the name Hyphomicrobiales bacterium. Its description in RNAcentral is "tRNA-Ser". It matches the Rfam family "tRNA". Rfam says of the family: Transfer RNA (tRNA) molecules are approximately 80 nucleotides in length. Lineage: Bacteria; Pseudomonadati; Pseudomonadota; Alphaproteobacteria; Hyphomicrobiales. The record is from RNAcentral. RNAcentral also lists the same sequence under 1 other name.
GGAGGGAUGGCCGAGUGGUUUAAGGCGCACGCCUGGAGAGCGUGUUCACGGGGAACCGUGUCGUGGGUUCGAAUCCCACUCCCUCCGCCA